GGCCACUGCUAUCGGAGUUCGAUUAAGCCAUGCGAGUCGAGAGGCAACUCGGCAUACUGCUCAGUAACACGUGGACAAUCUAACCUACGGAAGAGGAUAACCCCGGGAAACUGGGGAUAAUACUCUAUAGACUAUGGAUGCUGGAAUGCUUUGUAGUCGAAAGGUGAGCCGCCGUAGGAUGGGUCUGCGGCCGAUUAGGUUGUUGUUGGGGUAACGGCCCAACAAGCCUGUAAUCGGUACGGGUUGUGGGAGCAAGAGCCCGGAGAUGGAUUCUGAGACACGAAUCCAGGCCCUACGGGGCGCAGCAGGCGCGAAAACUUUACAAUGCGGGAAACCGUGAUAAGGGAACUCCGAGUGCCCGUAAAUCGGGCUGUCCAUUUGUUUAAAAAACAAGUGAAGAAAGGGCCGGGCAAGACCGGUGCCAGCCGCCGCGGUAAUACCGGCGGCUCGAGUGGUGGCCACUAUUACUGGGCUUAAAGCGUUCGUAGCUGGUUUGUUAAGUCUCUGGGGAAAUCUUCCGGCUUAACCGGAAGGCGUCUCAGGGAUACUGGCAGACUAGGGACCGGGAGAGGUGAGGGGUACUUCAGGGGUAGGAGUGAAAUCCUGUAAUCCUUGAGGGACCACCUGUGGCGAAGGCGCCUCACCAGAACGGCUCCGACAGUGAGGGACGAAAGCUGGGGGAGCAAACCGGAUUAGAUACCCGGGUAGUCCCAGCUGUAAACGAUGCGCGUUAGGUGUAUCGGUGACCACGAGUCACCGAGGUGCCGAAGAGAAAUCGUGAAACGUGCCGCCUGGGAAGUACGGUCGCAAGGCUGAAACUUAA
RNAcentral lists this ribosomal RNA (823 nucleotides) under uncultured archaeon. RNAcentral's name for it is "bacterial SSU rRNA". It matches the Rfam family "Archaeal small subunit ribosomal RNA", at positions 22 to 859 of the family's 1478-position model. The record is from RNAcentral.